This 260-nucleotide ribosomal RNA is filed under the name uncultured bacterium. RNAcentral describes it as "partial small subunit ribosomal RNA". It matches the Rfam family "Bacterial small subunit ribosomal RNA", at positions 26 to 287 of the family's 1533-position model. The record is from RNAcentral.
AGGACGAACGCUGGCGGCGUGCCUAACACAUGCAAGUCGAACGGAACCGGGGGCAACUCCGGUUCAGUGGCGAACGGGUGCGUAACACGUGAGGAACCUGACCAUCGGUGGGGGAUAGCCGGCCCAACGGCCGGGUAAUACCGCGUACGACCUUCGGGGGCGAUCCCCUGGAGGUGAGAGCAGCAAUGCGCCGAUGGAGGGCCUCGCGGCCUAUCAGCUAGUUGGUGAGGUAAUGGCUCACCAAGGCAACGACGGGUAGC